GGGAAACGGAUGGAAGGGCCAGUCCCAGGCCCUGACAAAGUAGAUUUUUGGGGUA
Regulatory RNA element from Neotoma lepida (desert woodrat), 55 nucleotides. The record is from Rfam. NCBI's taxonomy places the organism in Eukaryota, Metazoa, Chordata, Mammalia, Rodentia, Cricetidae.